Molecule: ribosomal RNA, 253 nt
Filed under: uncultured bacterium
Lineage: Bacteria
Description: partial 16S ribosomal RNA
Rfam family: Bacterial small subunit ribosomal RNA
Source: RNAcentral
UACAGAGGGCCCAAGCGUUGUUCGGAUUCACUGGGCGUAAAGGGUGCGUAGGCGGCAUGGUAAGUUUGAUGUGAAAUCUCCGGGCUUAACCCGGAAAUGGCAUUGAAUACUACUGUGCUGGAGGUUUGGAGGGGGGACUGGAAUUCUCGGUGUAGCAGUGAAAUGCGUAGAUAUCGUGAGGAAGACCAGUGGCGAAGGCGGAUCUCUGGACAGUUCCUGACGCUGAGGCGCGAAGGCCAGGGGAGCAAACGGG